This 492-nucleotide long non-coding RNA is filed under the name Setaria italica (foxtail millet). RNAcentral describes it as "long non-coding RNA (SITA_LNC005522)". The record is from RNAcentral. Lineage: Eukaryota; Viridiplantae; Streptophyta; Magnoliopsida; Poales; Poaceae.
GCGGGUACGGCGAGUACACGGAGGCGACCGUGACGGAGGUGGUGUCCACCGGCGAGGACGAGUACGACACGUACAAGAAGGAGGAGAAGGAGCACAAGCACAAGCAGCACCUCGGCGAGGCAGGCGCCGUCGCCGCCGGCGCCUUCGCUCUUGUACGUCCUCCUCCUCCUCGAUCUUUCGUGCUUCCUUCGUUGUGCUGAUCAAUCUUUAAUUUCACUGUGUGAUCUAUCGGCCGCGACGCGAAUGAACUUUGGCUCCGAGUUAAAUAAUUCCUUGUGUGCAUGCAGUACGAGAAGCACGAGGCGAAGAAGGACCCCGAGCACGCGCACCGGCACAAGAUCGAGGAGGAGGUCGCGGCGGCGGCGGCCGUGGGCUCCGGCGGCUUCGCCUUCCACGAGCACCACGAGAAGAAGAAGGACCACAAGGACGCCGAGGAGGCCGGCGGCGAGAAGAAGCACCACCACCUCUUCGGCUGAUCUAGCUCGUCUGCAC